RNAcentral lists this ribosomal RNA (253 nucleotides) under uncultured bacterium. RNAcentral's name for it is "partial 16S ribosomal RNA". It matches the Rfam family "Bacterial small subunit ribosomal RNA", at positions 524 to 776 of the family's 1533-position model. The record is from RNAcentral.
UACGAGAGGCCCAAACGUUAUUCGGAAUUACUGGGCUUAAAGAGUUCGUAGGCGGUAUGAAAAGUAGGGUGUGAAAGCCCUCGGCUCGACCGAGGAAUUGCGCUCUAAACUGUCGUACUCGAGGAACCUAGAGGUGAGCAGAACUGAUGGUGGAGCGGUGAAAUGCGUUGAUAUCAUCAGGAAUACCGGAGGCGAAGGCGGCAUCCUGGACCGGCAUUGACGCUGAGGCGCGAAAGCCAGGGGAGCAAACGGG